This 1369-nucleotide ribosomal RNA is filed under the name Lacticaseibacillus rhamnosus. RNAcentral describes it as "bacterial SSU rRNA". It matches the Rfam family "Bacterial small subunit ribosomal RNA", at positions 63 to 1415 of the family's 1533-position model. The record is from RNAcentral. Lineage: Bacteria; Bacillati; Bacillota; Bacilli; Lactobacillales; Lactobacillaceae.
UGAAAGGUGCUUGCAUCUUGAUUUAAUUUUGAACGAGUGGCGGACGGGUGAGUAACACGUGGGUAACCUGCCCUUAAGUGGGGGAUAACAUUUGGAAACAGAUGCUAAUACCGCAUAAAUCCAAGAACCGCAUGGUUCUUGGCUGAAAGAUGGCGUAAGCUAUCGCUUUUGGAUGGACCCGCGGCGUAUUAGCUAGUUGGUGAGGUAACGGCUCACCAAGGCAAUGAUACGUAGCCGAACUGAGAGGUUGAUCGGCCACAUUGGGACUGAGACACGGCCCAAACUCCUACGGGAGGCAGCAGUAGGGAAUCUUCCACAAUGGACGCAAGUCUGAUGGAGCAACGCCGCGUGAGUGAAGAAGGCUUUCGGGUCGUAAAACUCUGUUGUUGGAGAAGAAUGGUCGGCAGAGUAACUGUUGUCGGCGUGACGGUAUCCAACCAGAAAGCCACGGCUAACUACGUGCCAGCAGCCGCGGUAAUACGUAGGUGGCAAGCGUUAUCCGGAUUUAUUGGGCGUAAAGCGAGCGCAGGCGGUUUUUUAAGUCUGAUGUGAAAGCCCUCGGCUUAACCGAGGAAGUGCAUCGGAAACUGGGAAACUUGAGUGCAGAAGAGGACAGUGGAACUCCAUGUGUAGCGGUGAAAUGCGUAGAUAUAUGGAAGAACACCAGUGGCGAAGGCGGCUGUCUGGUCUGUAACUGACGCUGAGGCUCGAAAGCAUGGGUAGCGAACAGGAUUAGAUACCCUGGUAGUCCAUGCCGUAAACGAUGAAUGCUAGGUGUUGGAGGGUUUCCGCCCUUCAGUGCCGCAGCUAACGCAUUAAGCAUUCCGCCUGGGGAGUACGACCGCAAGGUUGAAACUCAAAGGAAUUGACGGGGGCCCGCACAAGCGGUGGAGCAUGUGGUUUAAUUCGAAGCAACGCGAAGAACCUUACCAGGUCUUGACAUCUUUUGAUCACCUGAGAGAUCAGGUUUCCCCUUCGGGGGCAAAAUGACAGGUGGUGCAUGGUUGUCGUCAGCUCGUGUCGUGAGAUGUUGGGUUAAGUCCCGCAACGAGCGCAACCCUUAUGACUAGUUGCCAGCAUUUAGUUGGGCACUCUAGUAAGACUGCCGGUGACAAACCGGAGGAAGGUGGGGAUGACGUCAAAUCAUCAUGCCCCUUAUGACCUGGGCUACACACGUGCUACAAUGGAUGGUACAACGAGUUGCGAGACCGCGAGGUCAAGCUAAUCUCUUAAAGCCAUUCUCAGUUCGGACUGUAGGCUGCAACUCGCCUACACGAAGUCGGAAUCGCUAGUAAUCGCGGAUCAGCACGCCGCGGUGAAUACGUUCCCGGGCCUUGUACACACCGCCCGUCACACCAUGAGAGUUUGU